AACGCACAUUGCGCCUAUUAGUAUUCUAGUAGGCAUGCCUGUCCGAGCGUCAUUUCGACCCCCAGGCCCUGGCAGCCUGGUGUUGGGGCGCUAUAGCCAUGCGCUGCAGCCCCCGAAAUCCAGUGGCGGACCCGACGAGGACCCGAGCGCAGUAGCACCCCUCUCGCUCAGGGCGCCCCGGAGGGACUCCUGCCGUAAAACCCCCACUGUAACAAGGUUGACCUCGGAUCAGGUAGGAAUACCCGCUGAACUUAA
Molecule: unclassified non-coding RNA, 255 nt
Filed under: uncultured fungus
Lineage: Eukaryota; Fungi
Description: sequence contains ITS2
Source: RNAcentral